AUUGAACGCUGGCGGCAGGCCUAACACAUGCAAGUCGAACGAGUGGCGAACGGGUGAGUAAUACAUCGGAACGUGCCCAGUCGUGGGGGAUAACUACUCGAAAGAGUAGCUAAUACCGCAUACGAUUGGAGCGGCCGAUGGCAGGUUAGGUAGUUGGUGGGAUAAAAGCUUACCAAGCCGACGAGCUGUAGCUGGUCUGAGAGGACGACCAGCCACACUGGGACUGAGACACGGCCCAGACUCCUACGGGAGGCAGCAGUGGGGAAUUUUGGACAAUGGGCGAAAGCCGGAUCCAGCAAUGCCGCGUGUAUGAAGAAGGCCUUCGGGUUGUAAAGUACUUUCAGCGAGGAGGCGUUACUCGCAGAAGAAGCACCGGCUAACUCCGUGCCAGCAGCCGCGGUAAUAC
RNAcentral lists this ribosomal RNA (406 nucleotides) under uncultured bacterium. Its description in RNAcentral is "partial 16S ribosomal RNA". It matches the Rfam family "Bacterial small subunit ribosomal RNA", at positions 30 to 526 of the family's 1533-position model. The record is from RNAcentral.